UUUUCCCAUUUUCGUUCCAUCUCUCUCGAAGCAGCCCUUCCUCCCUCUCUCUUCUCUCCUCUCAUCUCCUACGAAGCCCUAGCCUGCACCUCUCCUUCUUUCUCAAUCCUUCUUCUCUCUUCUCUUCUAUCUCUCUGUGUCUGUGAAAUGAAACCCUAAGGUUUCUUUCUUCUGUAAAUUCCCAACUCUGCAACUUCAAUCUUCAGAAGACCCACAAGCCCCUCUCUCUUUCUUCUCUUAUAUUCAAACUCUCUAAAACCUUUCUUCAUUGAAUAGGUAAGCCUAAAAAUCCCUUCCCCUUGAUUCUCUCUAACUCUCUAUAUCUGAACCCUCCGAGGCUAUCUCCACAACCUGCAACUAGCCUCCUUGCAAUUUUUCUUAACUUUUCGGACUCCGUUUCAAUCUUCUUUUCACAUAUAGCCCAAAACCCUAGAUCUUCUUUCUUCAUUCCCUGUACUUUUCUAAAGAGAACCUACCUUCAGCUAGAUCCUCAUUUAAGCUCUUGUGGUCAGAUCCGAAUGACCUCUGAGUCUCUUAGGGGAACUAAGGUGACUUUGAGGAAUGUCUCCAAUUUGGUCAGAUGGCAAUCGAGGCGUGGAGGGUUUUGGAAAUUUGGUUAUAUUUUAUUGUAUUUUUUGUAUAUUUUUUUGUAUUUGUUUUCUGUGAAUGGAAUUUGUAUGUACCCCCACCCCCUUUGUAUUGCAACUAUUGUUUAUAUUAACUUUCAUUUUUCCUGUAACUUUCAUUUCCUUGUAUCCCUUGUUGUAACUUUUGCACGCACGUCUCCCAUACAUUGUAUACUACAUUCCUCCCUUCAAACACGUGUACCCCCUUUUUUCCUUUAUUAAAAGAAAAUGUGGCUUGAUGUAA
This is a long non-coding RNA of Malania oleifera, 870 nucleotides long. RefSeq lists it as uncharacterized. NCBI's taxonomy places the organism in Eukaryota, Viridiplantae, Streptophyta, Magnoliopsida, Santalales, Ximeniaceae. The record is from RefSeq and is a predicted model, not a curated record. The transcript is spliced from 2 exons.